GACGAACGCUGGCGGCGUGCCUAAUACAUGCAAGUAGAACGCUGAAGGAGGAGCUUGCUUCUCUGGAUGAGUGGCGAACGGGUGAGUAACGCGUAGGUAACCUGCCUGUUAGCGGGGGAUAACUAUUGGAAACGAUAGCUAAUACCGCAUAAUAGUAGAUGUUGCAUGACAUUUGCUUAAAAGGUGCAAUUGCAUCACUACCAGAUGGACCUGCGUUGUUUUAGCUAGUUGGUGGGGUAACGGCUCACUAAGGCAACGACCCAUAGUCGACGGGGAGGGGGAUCGGCCAACCUGGGAAGGAGACACGGCCCAAACUCCCACGGGAGGGCGCCGUAAGGGAUCUUCGGGCAUGGGGGGAAGUCUGGACGGGCAACGCCGGGGGAGGGAAGAAGGUUCUCGGGUUGUAAAGCUCUGUUGUAAGGGAAGAAAGAGUGUGAGAGUGGAAAGUUCACAUCGUGACGGUACCUAACCAGAAAGCGACGGCUAACUACGUG
RNAcentral lists this ribosomal RNA (494 nucleotides) under uncultured bacterium. Its description in RNAcentral is "partial 16S ribosomal RNA". It matches the Rfam family "Bacterial small subunit ribosomal RNA", at positions 28 to 507 of the family's 1533-position model. The record is from RNAcentral.